RNAcentral lists this long non-coding RNA (650 nucleotides) under Elaeis guineensis (African oil palm). RNAcentral describes it as "long non-coding RNA (EGUI_LNC074625)". Lineage: Eukaryota; Viridiplantae; Streptophyta; Magnoliopsida; Arecales; Arecaceae. The record is from RNAcentral.
UUUUCCUUGCACUUGGCUUAUCCAAUAAACCAAUUGGACUUGAUCCAAUCAAGCCCAAAAUAAAUUUAAUUAAAUCAUAUUUAAUUAUACUUAAUCUCAGCCCAUUGGCUUAAUCAAAUUAAGCCAAUUAGCAAUCGAAUUGCUAAUCGAUCCUCCUGCAACACUUGCACUGGGUUAAAUGUCAAUCGUAUUGAUCAUUUAACCCUAGAACGAUUCUUAAUCGUUGAUCAACCAUCUGAUCGGAUUAUGAACUCUAAUGUGUGUGACCUCAUAGGUCCGAACCUAAACCGGUAGCAUAGGAACAAAUUUUUAUACCAAUCGAAGUGACCAUCUAGCAAUGGUACCCAACGACCGGAUAGGUCGAAUGUGUAGAACAACAUCCUUAGAACCCAUGCGGAUAUAGUUUUCAUAUAAUUCAUCUCCUUGACCAAAAUGAUCAUAGGACACCCCAGAGCUCAACUGUCAACUCUGAUCAGGUUGUCCACAUUGUAUUUCAAAAUAUCAAAUCUAUCUGAUGGAUUACCCUAGCCAAGGUUUUGCUAAAUUGAAAUACAGCGACUCAUUCUUCUCCAACUCUUGGAGUGGUCAAUCCCAUCUCGAUCACACUCUGACUUCGCAAGUACUUGACUGUGCCCAGAAGCCUUCCGUNN